GACGAACGCUGGCGGCGUGCUUAACACAUGCAAGUCGAACGGAAAGGCCCUGCUUUUGUGGGGUGCUCGAGUGGCGAACGGGUGAGUAACACGUGAGUAACCUGCCCUUGACUUUGGGAUAACUUCAGGAAACUGGGGCUAAUACCGGAUAGGAGCUCCUGCUGCAUGGUGGGGGUUGGAAAGUUUCGGCGGUUGGGGAUGGACUCGCGGCUUAUCAGCUUGUUGGUGGGGUAGUGGCCUACCAAGGCUUUGGCGGGUAGCCGGCCUGAGAGGGUGACCGGCCACAUUGGGACUGAGAUACGGCCCAGACUCCUACGGGAGGCAGCAGUGGGGAAUAUUGCACAAUGGGCGGAAGCCUGAUGUAGCAACGCCGCGUGCGGGAUGACGGCCUUCGGGUUGUAAACCGCUUUCGCCUGUGACGAAGCGUGAGUGACGGUAAUGGGUAAAGAAGCACCGGCUAACUACGUG
This 468-nucleotide ribosomal RNA is filed under the name uncultured bacterium. Its description in RNAcentral is "partial 16S ribosomal RNA". It matches the Rfam family "Bacterial small subunit ribosomal RNA", at positions 28 to 507 of the family's 1533-position model. The record is from RNAcentral.